UACGUAGGGGGCGAGCGUUGUCCGGAAUCAUUGGGCGUAAAGAGCUCGUAGGCGGCUUGUCGCGUCGUCCGUGAAAACCCACAGCUCAACUGUGGGCUUGCGGUCGAUACGGGCAGGCUGGAGUUCGGUAGGGGAGACUGGAAUUCCUGGUGUAGCGGUGAAAUGCGCAGAUAUCAGGAGGAACACCGGUGGCGAAGGCGGGUCUCUGGGCCGAUACUGACGCUGAGGAGCGAAAGCGUGGGGAGCGAACAGG
Molecule: ribosomal RNA, 253 nt
Filed under: uncultured prokaryote
Description: partial 16S ribosomal RNA
Rfam family: Bacterial small subunit ribosomal RNA
Source: RNAcentral